This 76-nucleotide transfer RNA is filed under the name Patescibacteria group bacterium. RNAcentral describes it as "tRNA-Ala". It matches the Rfam family "tRNA". Rfam says of the family: Transfer RNA (tRNA) molecules are approximately 80 nucleotides in length. The record is from RNAcentral.
GGGGAUAUAGCUCAGCUGAUAGAGCGCUGCAUUCGCAUUGCAGAGGCCGGCGGUUUGAAUCCGCCUAUCUCCACCA